This 282-nucleotide long non-coding RNA is filed under the name Olea europaea (common olive). RNAcentral's name for it is "long non-coding RNA (OEUR_LNC003612)". Lineage: Eukaryota; Viridiplantae; Streptophyta; Magnoliopsida; Lamiales; Oleaceae. The record is from RNAcentral.
AGAGCAAACCUGCAAGUUGUUCAUUGGGGAAUUUGAUAAAGAAGAAAAGAUUAAAGCCACCCCACUCAAACUUGACCCCACCCCUACUCCCUUAAAAUUAACUAAACUAAAGCAAAGCUCUACGAAAAAGUCUCUCUCUCUCUCUCUCUUCUUGAUUCUUGUAUGGAGAAAUUCAGUAGAUCUAAAUCAAGCAGAGUGCAGGUAGAGAAGUACAACUCCAUUAAUGGAGAAGCUCCAACUAGCAUGCAAGAUCUGAGGAGUUACAGCACUUCUACUUCUUCN